GGGUUGUGAGGUUAAGCGACUAAGCGUACACGGUGGAUGCCCUGGCAGUCAGAGGCGAUGAAGGACGUGCUAAUCUGCGAUAAGCGUCGGUAAGGUGAUAUGAACCGUUAUAACCGGCGAUUUCCGAAUGGGGAAACCCAGUGUGAUUUGUCACACUAUCAUUAACUGAAUCCAUAGGUUAAUGAGGCGAACCGGGGGAACUGAAACAUCUAAGUACCCCGAGGAAAAGAAAUCAACCGAGAUUCCCCCAGUAGCGGCGAGCGAACGGGGAGCAGCCCAGAGCCUGAAUCAGUGUGUGUGUUAGUGGAAGCGUCUGGAAAGGCGCGCGAUACAGGGUGACAGCCCCGUACACAAAAAUGCACAUACUGUGAGCUCGAUGAGUAGGGCGGGACACGUGGUAUCCUGUCUGAAUAUGGGGGGACCAUCCUCCAAGGCUAAAUACUCCUGACUGACCGAUAGUGAACCAGUACCGUGAGGGAAAGGCGAAAAGAACCCCGGCGAGGGGAGUGAAAAAGAACCUGAAACCGUGUACGUACAAGCAGUGGGAGCCUCUUUUAUGGGGUGACUGCGUACCUUUUGUAUAAUGGGUCAGCGACUUAUAUUCUGUAGCAAGGUUAACCGAAUAGGGGAGCCGAAGGGAAACCGAGUCUUAACUGGGCGUUAAGUUGCAGGGUAUAGACCCGAAACCCGGUGAUCUAGCCAUGGGCAGGUUGAAGGUUGGGUAACACUAACUGGAGGACCGAACCGACUAAUGUUGAAAAAUUAGCGGAUGACUUGUGGCUGGGGGUGAAAGGCCAAUCAAACCGGGAGAUAGCUGGUUCUCCCCGAAAGCUAUUUAGGUAGCGCCUCGUGAAUUCAUCUCCGGGGGUAGAGCACUGUUUCGGCAAGGGGGUCAUCCCGACUUACCAACCCGAUGCAAACUGCGAAUACCGGAGAAUGUUAUCACGGGAGACACACGGCGGGUGCUAACGUCCGUCGUGAAGAGGGAAACAACCCAGACCGCCAGCUAAGGUCCCAAAGUCAUGGUUAAGUGGGAAACGAUGUGGGAAGGCCCAGACAGCCAGGAUGUUGGCUUAGAAGCAGCCAUCAUUUAAAGAAAGCGUAAUAGCUCACUGGUCGAGUCGGCCUGCGCGGAAGAUGUAACGGGGCUAAACCAUGCACCGAAGCUGCGGCAGCGACACUAUGUGUUGUUGGGUAGGGGAGCGUUCUGUAAGCCUGUGAAGGUGUACUGUGAGGUAUGCUGGAGGUAUCAGAAGUGCGAAUGCUGACAUAAGUAACGAUAAAGCGGGUGAAAAGCCCGCUCGCCGGAAGACCAAGGGUUCCUGUCCAACGUUAAUCGGGGCAGGGUGAGUCGACCCCUAAGGCGAGGCCGAAAGGCGUAGUCGAUGGGAAACAGGUUAAUAUUCCUGUACUUGGUGUUACUGCGAAGGGGGGACGGAGAAGGCUAUGUUGGCCGGGCGACGGUUGUCCCGGUUUAAGCGUGUAGGCUGGUUUUCCAGGCAAAUCCGGAAAAUCAAGGCUGAGGCGUGAUGACGAGGCACUACGGUGCUGAAGCAACAAAUGCCCUGCUUCCAGGAAAAGCCUCUAAGCAUCAGGUAACAUCAAAUCGUACCCCAAACCGACACAGGUGGUCAGGUAGAGAAUACCAAGGCGCUUGAGAGAACUCGGGUGAAGGAACUAGGCAAAAUGGUGCCGUAACUUCGGGAGAAGGCACGCUGAUAUGUAGGUGAAGUCCCUCGCGGAUGGAGCUGAAAUCAGUCGAAGAUACCAGCUGGCUGCAACUGUUUAUUAAAAACACAGCACUGUGCAAACACGAAAGUGGACGUAUACGGUGUGACGCCUGCCCGGUGCCGGAAGGUUAAUUGAUGGGGUCAGCGCAAGCGAAGCUCUUGAUCGAAGCCCCGGUAAACGGCGGCCGUAACUAUAACGGUCCUAAGGUAGCGAAAUUCCUUGUCGGGUAAGUUCCGACCUGCACGAAUGGCGUAAUGAUGGCCAGGCUGUCUCCACCCGAGACUCAGUGAAAUUGAACUCGCUGUGAAGAUGCAGUGUACCCGCGGCAAGACGGAAAGACCCCGUGAACCUUUACUAUAGCUUGACACUGAACAUUGAGCCUUGAUGUGUAGGAUAGGUGGGAGGCUUAGAAGUGUGGACGCCAGUCUGCAUGGAGCCGACCUUGAAAUACCACCCUUUAAUGUUUGAUGUUCUAACGUUGACCCGUAAUCCGGGUUGCGGACAGUGUCUGGUGGGUAGUUUGACUGGGGCGGUCUCCUCCUAAAGAGUAACGGAGGAGCACGAAGGUUGGCUAAUCCUGGUCGGACAUCAGGAGGUUAGUGCAAUGGCAUAAGCCAGCUUGACUGCGAGCGUGACGGCGCGAGCAGGUGCGAAAGCAGGUCAUAGUGAUCCGGUGGUUCUGAAUGGAAGGGCCAUCGCUCAACGGAUAAAAGGUACUCCGGGGAUAACAGGCUGAUACCGCCCAAGAGUUCAUAUCGACGGCGGUGUUUGGCACCUCGAUGUCGGCUCAUCACAUCCUGGGGCUGAAGUAGGUCCCAAGGGUAUGGCUGUUCGCCAUUUAAAGUGGUACGCGAGCUGGGUUUAGAACGUCGUGAGACAGUUCGGUCCCUAUCUGCCGUGGGCGCUGGAGAACUGAGGGGGGCUGCUCCUAGUACGAGAGGACCGGAGUGGACGCAUCACUGGUGUUCGGGUUGUCAUGCCAAUGGCACUGCCCGGUAGCUAAAUGCGGAAGAGAUAAGUGCUGAAAGCAUCUAAGCACGAAACUUGCCCCGAGAUGAGUUCUCCCUGACCCUUUAAGGGUCCUGAAGGAACGUUGAAGACGACGACGUUGAUAGGCCGGGUGUGUAAGCGCAGCGAUGCGUUGAGCUAACCGGUACUAAUGAACCGUGAGGCUUAACCUUACAACGCCGAAG
Molecule: ribosomal RNA, 2924 nt
Filed under: Escherichia coli
Lineage: Bacteria; Pseudomonadati; Pseudomonadota; Gammaproteobacteria; Enterobacterales; Enterobacteriaceae
Description: 23S ribosomal RNA
Rfam family: Bacterial large subunit ribosomal RNA
Source: RNAcentral